AAAAAAAUGUUCUGAAAACCGGUUCGAACCGGACGGUCGAACCGGUCGAACCGCAAACCGCUAUCAAUUACGGUUCGGACAGAAGGCAAAACUGGCAAAUUUGAAAACCGCCAUUGGACCGUUGAACUGGCCGAGAACCGGUCGGUCGAACCGAACCGUGACCCGGCCGGUUUUUGAAUCUUAACAAAAACGCAGCGUUUUGUUGUGCAGGGAUGGCAACCCUAAGUUCCCUAACCCCUCUUCCUUCUAGUCUCCAGCCUCCACAACGCGAAGCAGCAGUCCAGAGUCCAGACUCUAGCAAUUCGUCUCAACCUCAUCGAAGCCACCGGCGUAUGUCCAUCCAGCCACCACCGCCGUCCCAACUUCGAGCUUCGAAGGCAACGGCGCAACGUCCGUCCAGCCACCACCGUUUGAGCUUCGAAAAUCGAAGCCACCGUCGCCGGUCUCGUCUCUUGCCUCCGUCGCGCAGCCACUUCCCGCCGGUGCCAGCUCUGUUCCACACCACCACGUCGGCCACUGUCUUCCCAGCCAUCGUCCCCGGCCACUUCCACACCCUCGCCAGCUCUUCCCUGUUCCAGCCUUCCAGGAUCCAGCUUCUAGCCUAGCUGUCAUUGGAGCCAUUCACACAACCACUUUGGCCAAGCUCUCUGCUAAAAGGCAAGAAGUUCUUUCUCCAGCAGGCAACAUUGUUGAACAGGUCAAUAAUACACCCAAGUAUUAAUCUUGGGAGCUUCUUUUAACUUUUUUUCAUCUGGGGUGGUGUUGUGAUUGUUUGAUUGAAUCAUUGAAUAACUGUUGCAUGUCUCUGUCUCCUGAUGAGUUUGAUUGAGUAGCUCUUUGAUUUUGUGACAUGAUGAACUCUGAAACUGUGAACUCUGAACUGAUCCUGCUAAACUGAACUGGAUUUUGUGACAUGAUAAACUGAUAUAGUUUGUCAUUUAUUUUCUUUUAAAUUAGUUCUUAUAGUUUGGCUUUUGACAUGAUUAAGAAAGAUCCAUUUUGGUAUAUUAGGGAACUGGAUAAUAUAAAGAUAAAGAGUGCUAUAAGAUGUUUCAAGAUUUUGAGUUAAUAUACCAAUGAAUUAUCAACUCAAUCUGCUAGAGACGCUAGGGCAACUCUUUGGGCCUAAUACAACUAUCUUUUUGGCUGGCGAGCUUCGAAAUGAUGCCAUUCUUGAGUACUUCCUAGAAGCUGCAGUGAACAAUUUCAGAAUUGGUCGCAUUGAUCAAAAUCUGUGGCAUCCUGAUUAUCGCAGCAACCGAGUUGUUCUUUAUGUUCUUGUGAAGAAAUGAAGGUUUCAGAAUUAAUGAAACUAUGUUACUUUAUAGUUUAUACUCUACUAGAGUGUGACCCUCCUACGCUAGGAUUCAUUGUAAAAGUUAUUCUCCUUCCAUGUAUUAUUUUUUGAUAUCAUGCUCAUUUUGAGAAGCCUAACAAUUUUGUUUUGACAGAUAAAAGUGGACUAUGAUCUGUGAACCAUUUUCAGUGAAUUCAUUCACAACCACUGUUAAGAAGACACAAUUUUUUAAUGCUUGAUGGAACAACUAAAACUCCAAUUCUUGCUUGGUUAUCAUCAAAGGAUAAUCUCUGAAUCCAAAAUAUUUAAUAUAGAACAAAGGCUACUUAAA
Molecule: non-coding RNA, 1628 nt
Organism: Arachis ipaensis
Lineage: Eukaryota; Viridiplantae; Streptophyta; Magnoliopsida; Fabales; Fabaceae
Source: RefSeq, a predicted model, not a curated record